UAAUUAACUAAAGAAUUAAAGCAAAAAAUGACUAGUAGUUUCUAGCUAAUCCCCUUGAAGCUGCCACUUUAUUUUGAUAUAUAACCAAAUAAAAUAGAGACAUAUAGUUUUCAAACAAAUUCCCCCUUCUUCAAGAACCCAAUUUUCUAGCUUCUGCUUCAUUUCUUAGUCUUUAAAAUCAUAAAAAACAAAAAUAAAAUUUUAGUGUGAUCUUGUGUUUUUUAGAAAAAGAUGAAUGAUCCCAAGUAUGCUUAUCCUUAUCCUGCUCAAGGUUAUUAUCAAGGACCUCCAGUAAUGGCACCUCCACAGUAUCAAUAUGGUGCUCCACCUCCAAGAAGAGAGCCUGGUUUUCUUGAAGGAUGCCUUGCUGCUUUGUGUUGCUGUUUCCUUGUUGAUGAAUGCUGCUGUGAUCCAUCCAUCAUUUUUGUUAGUUGAAUUUUUUUUUUUAAAAAGGUGUAGAUUGUUCCAUAAAAUAGUUUAUGUACCUUGUUACAAAUUAAUGGAAUGUAAUUUCUUUAAGGACAUUUAAAUUAAA
Long non-coding RNA from Mercurialis annua (annual mercury), 535 nucleotides. RefSeq lists it as uncharacterized. The transcript is spliced from 3 exons. The record is from RefSeq and is a predicted model, not a curated record. Lineage: Eukaryota; Viridiplantae; Streptophyta; Magnoliopsida; Malpighiales; Euphorbiaceae.